GCCGGGGUGGCGGAAUUGGCAGACGCGCUAGCUUCAGGAGCUAGUCCAAGCAAUUGGGUGCGGGUUCGAGUCCCGCUCUCGGCA
RNAcentral lists this transfer RNA (84 nucleotides) under Candidatus Dojkabacteria bacterium CG_4_10_14_0_2_um_filter_Dojkabacteria_WS6_41_15. RNAcentral's name for it is "tRNA-Leu". It matches the Rfam family "tRNA". Rfam says of the family: Transfer RNA (tRNA) molecules are approximately 80 nucleotides in length. Their secondary structure includes four short double-helical elements and three loops (D, anti-codon, and T loops). RNAcentral also lists the same sequence under 1 other name. The record is from RNAcentral.